AACGAACGCUGGCGGCGUGCUUAACACAUGCAAGUCGAGCGGGAAAGUUUCCUUCGGGAAGCGAGUACAGCGGCAGACGGGUGAGUACGACGUAGGUAACCUACCCUCGAGACUGGGAUAACCUGUCGAAAGACGGGCUAAUACCGGAUAAGACCACAAGGGCUGCGGCCUUUGAGGUAAAAGAUGGCCUCUGCUUGCAAGCUAUCACUUGGGGAUGGGGCCUGCGCGCCAUUAGCAGUUGGUGAGGUACGGCUCACCAAGGCAAAGAUGGCUAGCUGGUCUGAGAGGAUGGCCAGCCACACUGGGACUGAGACACGGCCCAGACUCCUACGGGAGGCAGCAGUGGGGAAUAUUGCGCAAUGGGACGAAAGCCUGACGCAGCGACGCCGCGU
This 392-nucleotide ribosomal RNA is filed under the name uncultured bacterium. Its description in RNAcentral is "bacterial SSU rRNA". It matches the Rfam family "Bacterial small subunit ribosomal RNA", at positions 29 to 402 of the family's 1533-position model. The record is from RNAcentral.